AAAAAUUGAGAUAUGACUGACAUAUAACACUGUUUGUUUUAGGUGUACAACAUAGUGACUCAAUAUUUGUAUGUAUAUACUGAGAAAUGAGCACCAAAAUAAGUCCAGUUAACAUCCAUCACCACACAUCGUUACAAAUUUAUUUUUUCUGCAACACAGGAUCUGAGCCAUGUCUGUGACCCAUACCACAGCUCACGGCAAUGCCGGAUCCUGAACCUACACAGCAAGGCCAGGGAUCAAACACGCAACCUCAUGGUUAUUAGUUAGAUUCGUUUCUGCUGCGCCACAAUGGGAACUCCUAUUUUUUCUUAUUUUGAAGACUUUUAAAAUCUACUCUCUUAGCAACUUACAAAUAUAAAAUACAGUAUUAUUAACUAUAGUCACUAGGCUUUACUAAAUAAAAUCUGAAAUCUUAAGAUUACUAAAUAAAAACUGCAUCUUAAAAAUUAGGAAGAGGGAUCUUAGAAACAUUUAGCCCAAUGCCUCUCAAACUUUAACGUGUGAGUCCCCAAGGACAUUCUAAUAAAAUUCAGACUGUGAAUCUAUAAGUGUGGAGUGGGCCUGAGAUUCUGAAUUCUAACAAGCUCUAGGUGAUGAUGAUGCUGCCGGUCCAGGAACCAUGCACCAGGUACCAAGGCUCCAGUCAAGCCUAAUGGAGAUCCCCUAGCUUCUGCUAGGGAAUCUCUAGUGACCAGGAGCUGAAACCUCCACCAGGAGACAUGGCAGAGAUCUGACUUGUGGAGCAACAAAGAAAGUUGGCUUCCUCUUCUAAUGAUGGAAGAUAUCCUUUAUUUUCCUAUAGCUCCUCUUCUCCAAGCUAAACUUCCCUACUUCUAUGGGAAGUAGAAGUGGCCAGUUUCCAGAUCCCUAUACAUCUUGAUCACAGAGGAUGCUCCCUCCAUGAUCAACAUCUUCCUUUCAAAAGUCCCUCGGGAUGGGGGUGGGUAGUAUUCCAUACAUGGGACAGCCAGGCCCGUGACUAGGUGAGCAAGAGCAUUGUAUUACCCCAUCUAAAUGGGACAGCUCGCUUAACUGCUCUACGGAAGUGUCACCUUCUUUAAUAACCAAAGACCACACUGCACUGGCAGAUCACAAUCUUGUAGAGAAAUUGGUACCAAGCAGGUGUGCAAAUUCUGUACUCAGUUUUUUUUUUAACCCAAAUGUAGGAAUUUACAUUUAUUCCCAUUAAAUGUCAUCUUGCUACUUUGGGCUUGGCAUUUUCUGAGGUAAUUUUAAAAUAACAGAUCAAAUCAGAAAUAUUUUCAGAAAAUAACAACUCACAAAAUCCAUUUGAAAAUUUACUAUCUAAUAUGCAGUAUGUAUACACAUAUACAUAAAAACACAUAUGGUUAAAAAUAAUUAUGAAAAAGAACAUCCUUGGGACCACCGUUUGAGCUGGAAAGUAAAACAACUGUCUGGACCUUGGAAGUUCUAGAGUCCUUUCCCCACCACGUACCACUCCAUUGCCUCUGGAGGUAACCCCUAUACUGAUUUUUUUUUUUUUUUUUGGUCUUUUGCCUUUUCUAUGGCCACACCCUUGGCAUAAGGAAGUUCCCAGGCUAGGGGUCGAAUAGGAGCUGUAGCCGCCGGCCUACACCACAGCCACAGCAACAUGGGAUCCGAGCCACAUCUGCAACCUACACCACAGCUCACAGCAACGCCAGAUCCUUGACCCCACUAAGCGAGGCCAGGGAUUGAGCCUGAGAUCUCAUGGUUCCUAGUCACGAGGGGAACUCCUAUUGUUUUGGUUUUUUUUGUCUUUUGUAUACUGAUUUCGUGUGUGUGUGUGUGUGUGUGUGUGUGUGUGUGGUAAUCAUUCUCUCAAUUUUCUGUAUUGCUUUAAUAUUUAUAUAUACAGCCCUAAACUAUAAUAGGGAAGAACAAAUCUGACUCCAUAUGGGAUCUUUUACUUUAACCUUUGUAUCCUAUUGCUUCUGCUACAAGUUCAUGAAAGGGAGGUUGCCUAUCAGCUUAAAUUAUACAUAACGACCCAACUCUGGAAACUCUGCCUCUCAGGUUAUCAGUGUUAAACUAAAAUACCUUUGUUUAGCUCACAAGAAACAUCCCCACCAGGCCCAACUAUGAAUGACUGCAGGCAGGAAGAAAUUAACACAGUCCCUCCAGAGGCUGACCAGAACCAGGAAAUGCUUGACUUUGCUCUCAGCCAUUUUAGUACAAAAAGAAGCCUGAAUUCUAACUUGGGUAUGAAGGUACUUUGGGACACUAGUCUGCCAUCUUCUGGGUCCAUGGGCUUUCUGAAUAAAGUUGCUAUUCCUUGCCCCAAAAAGUCAUCUCUUGAUUUUCUGGCCUGUCAAGCAGUGAGCAGAGUGAGCGAUGGGAACUUGGUCUCGGUAACAAGCCAUAUACUUAGUUCUGCAUACUUGCGAAUUUUCAUAAAUGGAGUCAUUUGUGUACCUAGUCUUCUGUGUCUUGUUUCUUUCAUUCAACAUUGUGAUUUUAGGAUUCAUCCAUAUUGAUGCAUGCAUUUUUGGUUGCUUAACAAACACCUUCCUCAACAUACAGAUGAGGAAAACGGAUGGACAGUGAAGUUAAGAAACGUGCCCAAGGUCACAAAAAUAAGUGGUAGAACCUAAUUUUGAACACGAGCAGAAUCUUUGCUCUUAACCACCAAGCAGGUGGCCUCUCCACACCCUCCCAUAGGUGAUGUUAUUAGCUCAUGCGUCACUGCCAAAUAGUUAUUCCAGUGUGUAAAUACAGCAAAAUGUGUUGAUUCAAUACAAUGUUGAUGAGUAUUUGGGUUGUUUCCAGUGUUUGCUCUCACAAACAAUGUUUCUUUAUACAUUCCUGUCCCUGUUUCUUGAAGCACAUGAGUAAGAUUUUUUUUCCUAAAGGUAUAUCCAGGAGUAAGAUUGUGGGGUUGUAAAUUAGUAGCAAGGUGAACUAUGUUCAGUAAUAAACUAUUUUCCAGUGGAAUUGUAUCAAAUUAUACUCCUACCCACCCCAUACAAGAACUUCCAUUCAUCCACAUCCUCACCAACACCAGCUAUGUCAGAUUUUUAAAUGUCUGCCAAUCCAGAGACUUAUGUAUACUAUGUCACUACAAUUUUACUUUGCAUACAUUUGAUCAUUAAACUAGCCAUUUGGGUUUCUUUUGUGAAGUGCUUGCUUACAUAUGUGAAGGUACAGCAUCAUGUUUCUAUUGUGCUGUCCAUAGCUUUUCUUAUCGAUUCAUGUGUUCUUCCCAUAUGCUGGACCAGUACCAUAUUUGUCCUAUAAAUAUCGUCCACCACUUUGGGCUUGUUUUCUUACGCUUCAUGUUUUAAUGAACAUAAGUUCUAGUCCCAUUUUUUUUUCAAACCAUUAAAAGUAAAGGCCUCUUCAUACAUUUUAAACUUCUUGUACUAUUAUAGAAGGAUUUCCCAGGUCUGCACUUAGAAUCCUUUAUAGCCCUCCAUUAAUUAUGUCUUAAGAAGGUCUAAUUUGGGAAGUGUCAAGAAUGGGACAGUGUACUGACAAUGACAGAUAUGGAACAAUAAAGUUGAUGAACCUGACAUCUAUAAAAUCUUGAAAGGUACCAGCUAGGGAAUUAAGGAGCAUUUCAGCAAAUCCCACAGUAUUUUGAGGAUAUAAACAAAUCCAACUUCUCCUUUUGAAGGCUCUGCUGUCCUUCAAUCUUUGCCAGUUCUCUUUCCUCCCAACUCCUUUCUCCCACUUUCCUUUACUACUCAUCCUGUCCCUUGAUCACGUACUGCUGGGUGCUGUCCUUCAAAUACUUCAUGCUUAUACGUAUCAUCUCCAAGAUGAAACUCCAACUUCCCCACAGACUGGGAUCAGGCUGUACAGGGGGACUGUAUUCCACAUACCACAUCCUGAGCCCAACAGAGUCUCCUGCAAAGAGCAAGCCCCUCACUAAGUCAUUCUUGAUUUGUGCAAGGAGUAAUUUUAGGGCGAAUUCAAAGGACUUCAGGGUCAACAUACAUAACUCAUCCAUUAGGAAACUCCACGGAAUAAAAACAUAAAUUCAUUCGAGAGAUAGUGAGUCAAAGUUUAGUGAGAAGAAAACAUUGGUGAAAAUAUAUACCUGAAACGGUAGGGUGGGAACAGGUUAUAAGGAGGGCUGUGCCAAGGGGUUUAAAGGCUGUGCCAAGGAAUUUGGCUUUCCCGAACAUUUAACUUGGGCUUGCCUGGUGAGAGCCUGACCUGACCCACUUCUCCCUGUGCAAGAGAAUGAGUGUUUAAUGAGCAGCCCUUUAGG
RNAcentral lists this long non-coding RNA (4216 nucleotides) under Sus scrofa (pig). Its description in RNAcentral is "lncRNA (ENSSSCG00050062952.1)". The record is from RNAcentral. Lineage: Eukaryota; Metazoa; Chordata; Mammalia; Artiodactyla; Suidae.